AACGCAUAUUGCGCUCGAGACUUCGGUCGAGAGCAUGCCUGUCUCAGCGUCGGCUCACCCCUCGCCCACCCUCCUCAUGUUUGUUUCUUCGACAAGAUCAAACAGGGGAGGUGCCUGGACGGACGUGGCCGUCUCGAUUGGCUCCGCAGGGAGCCCGAUCGGGUCGGCUGAAGUGCAGGGCCCGCGGCGCGACCCGGACAAGAGGGCGCCAGCAUGGUAGGUGGCUGUCAAUGCUGCAUGCCGCUGUCGCCCGGCCUUGGCCCGACCAGUGUCGCAUCCAAUCGUCCGCUCGGCCACCAAGCAGGAAAGCGCCGGGGCCCGCCGGUUAGUAAAAUAAUCGGCGGCGCCGGCACACUCAAACCUUCGACCUGAGAUCAGACAAGACCACCCGCUGAACUUAA
RNAcentral lists this unclassified non-coding RNA (401 nucleotides) under uncultured fungus. RNAcentral's name for it is "partial contains 5.8S ribosomal RNA, internal transcribed spacer 2, and large subunit ribosomal RNA". Lineage: Eukaryota; Fungi. The record is from RNAcentral.